This 1483-nucleotide unclassified non-coding RNA is filed under the name Desmonostoc sp. V15. Its description in RNAcentral is "bacterial SSU rRNA". The stretch from base 1 to 1164 matches the Rfam family "Bacterial small subunit ribosomal RNA", at positions 356 to 1533 of the family's 1533-position model. Lineage: Bacteria; Bacillati; Cyanobacteriota; Cyanophyceae; Nostocales; Nostocaceae. The record is from RNAcentral.
GGGGAAUUUUCCGCAAUGGGCGAAAGCCUGACGGAGCAAUACCGCGUGAGGGAGGAAGGCUCUUGGGUUGUAAACCUCUUUUCUCAGGGAAGAACACAAUGACGGUACCUGAGGAAUCAGCAUCGGCUAACUCCGUGCCAGUAGCCGCGGUAAUACGGAGGAUGCAAGCGUUAUCCGGAAUGAUUGGGCGUAAAGCGUCCGCAGGUGGCUGUGUAAGUCUGCUGUCAAAGAGCGAAGCUCAACUUCGUAAAGGCAGUGGAAACUACACGGCUAGAGUGCGUUCGGGGCAGAGGGAAUUCCUGGUGUAGCGGUGAAAUGCGUAGAGAUCAGGAAGAACACCGGUGGCGAAGGCGCUCUGCUAGGCCGCAACUGACACUGAGGGACGAAAGCUAGGGGAGCGAAUGGGAUUAGAUACCCCAGUAGUCCUAGCUGUAAACGAUGGAUACUAGGCGUGGCUUGUAUCGACCCGAGCCGUGCCGUAGCUAACGCGUUAAGUAUCCCGCCUGGGGAGUACGCACGCAAGUGUGAAACUCAAAGGAAUUGACGGGGGCCCGCACAAGCGGUGGAGUAUGUGGUUUAAUUCGAUGCAACGCGAAGAACCUUACCAAGGCUUGACAUGUCGCGAAUCCUGGUGAAAGUCAGGAGUGCCUUCGGGAGCGCGAACACAGGUGGUGCAUGGCUGUCGUCAGCUCGUGUCGUGAGAUGUUGGGUUAAGUCCCGCAACGAGCGCAACCCUCGUUUUUAGUUGCCAGCAUUAAGUUGGGCACUCUAGAGAGACUGCCGGUGACAAACCGGAGGAAGGUGGGGAUGACGUCAAGUCAGCAUGCCCCUUACGCCUUGGGCUACACACGUACUACAAUGCUACGGACAGAGGGCAGCAAGCUAGCGAUAGCAAGCAAAUCCCAGAAACCGUGGCUCAGUUCAGAUCGAAGGCUGCAACUCGCCUUCGUGAAGGAGGAAUCGCUAGUAAUUGCAGGUCAGCAUACUGCAGUGAAUUCGUUCCCGGGCCUUGUACACACCGCCCGUCACACCAUGGAAGCUGGCAACGCCCGAAGUCAUUACUCCAACCAUUCGUGGGGGAGGAUGCCUAAGGCAGUGCUGGUGACUGGGGUGAAGUCGUAACAAGGUAGCCGUACCGGAAGGUGUGGCUGGAUCACCUCCUUUAUAGGGAGACCUACCCAACUUUAAUAUCGAGGACACAGAGUUAAUAGAUAUAAAGAUGGUCAUUCCUAGGUCGGUCGAGAUUGGUAAAUAGCUUUCAAAGUAUUAGUGGUUCAGUAAAUAUAGAGUUUGUUAAAAAACUGUAUAAAUUCAGCAAUAUGGCGAUUAGCCAGACUGCUGGGUUAAAUCUCAGCCAGAACCUUGAAAACUGCAUAGGAAUGCGAAGCAGGCAGACACAGACAAUGUUUGUGUAUGCAAAAACAAAUGCCGAAUUUGUGGUCAAGCUAAUAAGAGCUGACGGCGGAUACCUAGGCACACAGAG